RNAcentral lists this non-coding RNA (30 nucleotides) under Xenopus tropicalis (tropical clawed frog). RNAcentral also lists the same sequence under 3 other names. Lineage: Eukaryota; Metazoa; Chordata; Amphibia; Anura; Pipidae. The record is from RNAcentral.
ACCGUCGUAGUUCCGACCAUAAACGAUGCC